AAGAAGGAAGGAGGGAAGGAAAGAAGGAAGGAAAGAAGGAAGAAGGAAGGAGGGAAGGAAAGAAGGAAGGAAGGAAGAAAAUAAAUUACCAAGGCAGGAUGAGGCAACACAAGGGAAGGAAAAACACCCAAAAGCAGGGACAAGAAUCAGAGACCAACUAUCAUCACAUUCAGGAGUGCCGUAUAGGCUGAAAGUUAUCAGUGCAGGACUUUGGCGGACCUGUGCUUGCCACAUCUAUCUCUGAAAAUUCUUACUGAAGGAGGGAAACAACUCAAAACACCUCCAGGUAGUCCUUACGCUGAUCAUGAUAACUGUGCUCCUCCGCCAGAGUUAAGAAGAACUGCAAAAAUUACUCAGAAAAGCCAAGCUUCAAGGAAGACUCUGACACCAGCUCAGCUGCCAUGGAGAAGCAGAAAUGGCCACAAUUGCUUCCAGGAGGUUUAUACUAGAAUCACUGGGCAAAGACAGUCUCCAGUCUCUUAAGCAACCAGCAGACUGUGUAGCUUUCUCCGGGUCUCCCAGCUUUUGCAAGCUGUCACACUCAUGCUGAAAUAAGAAAUGGAAAUGUAGCUUUUUUUUUGAGUCAUUUCUGCUCCUAUAUAUAAAACCCCUUACCCAUACUCCUCAGAAAGUAUCACUGUUUCAACAAA
This is a long non-coding RNA of Mastomys coucha (southern multimammate mouse), 650 nucleotides long. RefSeq lists it as uncharacterized. NCBI's taxonomy places the organism in Eukaryota, Metazoa, Chordata, Mammalia, Rodentia, Muridae. The record is from RefSeq and is a predicted model, not a curated record. The transcript is spliced from 2 exons.